RNAcentral lists this ribosomal RNA (775 nucleotides) under Salmonella enterica subsp. enterica serovar 1,4,[5],12:i:-. RNAcentral's name for it is "partial 23S ribosomal RNA". It matches the Rfam family "Bacterial large subunit ribosomal RNA", at positions 1 to 816 of the family's 2925-position model. The record is from RNAcentral. Lineage: Bacteria; Pseudomonadati; Pseudomonadota; Gammaproteobacteria; Enterobacterales; Enterobacteriaceae.
GGUUAAGCGACUAAGCGUACACGGUGGAUGCCCUGGCAGUCAGAGGCGAUGAAGGGCGUGCUAAUCUGCGAUAAGCGCCGGUAAGGUGAUAUGAACCGUUAUAACCGGCGAUUUCCGAAUGGGGAAACCCAGUGUGAUUCGUCACACUAUCAUUAACUGAAUCCAUAGGUUAAUGAGGCGAACCGGGGGAACUGAAACAUCUAAGUACCCCGAGGAAAAGAAAUCAACCGAGAUUCCCCCAGUAGCGGCGAGCGAACGGGGAGGAGCCCAGAGCCUGAAUCAGCAUGUGUGUUAGUGGAAGCGUCUGGAAAGGUGCGCGAUACAGGGUGACAGCCCCGUACACAAAAGCGCAUGUGCUGUGAGCUCGAUGAGUAGGGCGGGACACGUGGUAUCCUGUCUGAAUAUGGGGGGACCAUCCUCCAAGGCUAAAUACUCCUGACUGACCGAUAGUGAACCAGUACCGUGAGGGAAAGGCGAAAAGAACCCCGGCGAGGGGAGUGAAAAAGAACCUGAAACCGUGUACGUACAAGCAGUGGGAGCACAGGUUUACCUGUGUGACUGCGUACCUUUUGUAUAAUGGGUCAGCGACUUAUAUUCUGUAGCAAGGUUAACCGUAUAGGGGAGCCGUAGGGAAACCGAGUCUUAACCGGGCGUUAAGUUGCAGGGUAUAGACCCGAAACCCGGUGAUCUAGCCAUGGGCAGGUUGAAGGUUGGGUAACACUAACUGGAGGACCGAACCGACUAAUGUUGAAAAAUUAGCGGAUGACCUGUGGCU